AAUAAUAGUAUUGUACCAUUUAUAUAUGUUAUAGGGAUUGCAAAAUGCAAACACAUUGAACAUAUAGUCAUUUAUAGACACAAUAUGGUCAAGAACAUUAAUAUACACAAUAAUUGAGUAUAUUAUGUAUUUACACAGGCUCCAAAACAUGUACAGUAGUACUUUGAAACCUGUACUAGCUAGUACUAGCUGUAAUUUGACCAAUCUGCCAAAGUGCUCUAUACGAGCUAUUAAACAAGUACUUUGCUGGAGCCUGGCCAUAACGUAUCUAGAUGGACUAAUUGGCAGCCUGGAAAAGACCAGCCUGGCUGGUCGAUCGGAUAAGGAGAGAAUAACUAGGAGAGAGAGAGCGACUCAAGCCACGUCCGAAUCCCCAAUCCUUUGACCAACACACGCGGAGGCUCCCAUGGCCGCUCGGCCGCAUCAACGCGGAGAGGUGCUCCCGCCGUGCUCUUCCUCGUCGGAGGAGCCGCCGGGGAGGCGGGUGCUAAGCACAGCGCCAUUGGGGAGGCCAAGGGAGGCGGGCUCCCAUGUGCCUGCGCGGAAACCGUGCUAGUGGGAGGCCAUUGCCGCCGCGGCGCAGGAUGCGGCGAGCUUCGGGUGGCGGCGUCGGUGGCCGCGCUGGUGACGGGAGGUCUCCGUCGGCUGCCGCCGGGUCGUUCCGGACGGCGCGCGUCGCCCAACCGCUGGUCGUGAAGACCAAGCGCGCCAGGAGCACCACCGUGCCAGGAGGCCGCGGCCGCGUACACGGCGGACCGCAAGGAUGCAAGCCGUGCUAUACCGCGGGCAUGGCUACAGCCGAGGCAAGCGCGGAUGCGAGCGUUGCGGAGACUCAAUUCACUCGGUGGCGAGCGUGAGCGCUGCCGGGCUCCAUUUGCCGGUGCGGCCGGAGUAGCAUCUUGGCGGCGGGACGCCAAUGGCAGGAGACGGCGGCGAGCGCCCGUGCGCGGCGAAGAUGGAGUGGUGGCCGGCGGCGACGGGGAUGAUGGCCACGGCCUCCGCCGGGGGUACCUGCAUCUAGUCCGAAGGCGGCCGCACGCGCUGGGUACCAUCGCCGAUGGGCCAUGGUCCGCGCGCCGUCACCUCGUCCUCCAGGCACCGACCUCUCCCUUUCUUCCGUUCUUCUUUUCCUGUGAUUCUGGGCAGAGCUCUCGGCAGAGCAAGUGCUGAUAACGUGUUGAAUGUAAAUGAGAAUGAAUCGAACUUCUAUCUUUCAUUGAUCA
This is a long non-coding RNA of Aegilops tauschii subsp. strangulata, 1223 nucleotides long. RefSeq lists it as uncharacterized. NCBI's taxonomy places the organism in Eukaryota, Viridiplantae, Streptophyta, Magnoliopsida, Poales, Poaceae. The record is from RefSeq and is a predicted model, not a curated record.